Molecule: ribosomal RNA, 253 nt
Filed under: uncultured bacterium
Lineage: Bacteria
Description: partial 16S ribosomal RNA
Rfam family: Bacterial small subunit ribosomal RNA
Source: RNAcentral
GACGAACCGAGCGAACGUUGUUCGGAAUCACUGGGCUUAAAGGGCGCGUAGGCGGGCUCGCCAGUCUGUGGUGAAAUCCUCCGGCUCAACCGGAGAACUGCCUCGGAUACUGCGGGUCUCGAGGGUGAUAGGGGUAUGCGGAACUAUCGGUGGAGCGGUGAAAUGCGUUGAUAUCGAUAGGAACUCCGGUGGCGAAGGCGGCAUACUGGAUCACUUCUGACGCUGAGGCGCGAAAGCCAGGGGAGCAAACGGG